AGUCUCAAAGCAGAGUUGUUCCGGACUGCUUGCAGACCGGGACGGCUCUGCUUUAGAGACGCUAACUCAUAUGAGCAAGUAGGCCGACAGGCCGGAUUGCGAAUAUGGGGCGAAUUGCGGGAACGCAAAGCGUGGAGCAAUCCGAGG
RNAcentral lists this small RNA (147 nucleotides) under human gut metagenome. RNAcentral describes it as "Clostridiales-1 RNA". It matches the Rfam family "Clostridiales-1 RNA". The record is from RNAcentral.